Molecule: long non-coding RNA, 209 nt
Filed under: Nicotiana benthamiana
Lineage: Eukaryota; Viridiplantae; Streptophyta; Magnoliopsida; Solanales; Solanaceae
Description: long non-coding RNA (NBEN_LNC023614)
Source: RNAcentral
AGAAGUCUUGCAAAUAAGCCAUGGUACAAGCAACAAGAGAGGAUACUUUUGUGUGUGAGUGUGAGUUCAGAAAAGACUCGAGUAUUGGUACUUUUUAAUAAAAAAGAGCUAGUAUUUAUAGUGUGAGAAACAUGCAGAAAUAAAGUAAGGACUGUAAGUCAGACAUAAUUAAGGAAUAUGUGUCCAUUAAAAUCAAAUAAGUAUCAAAG